GAUGAAGAACGUAGCGAAACGCGAUAAGUAAUGUGAAUUGCAGAAUCCAGUGAAUCAUCGAAUCUUUGAACGCACAUUGCGCCCGCCAGCAUUCUGGCGGGUAUGCCUGUUCGAGCGUCAUUUCAACCCUCGACCUCCCCUUGGGGAGGUCGGCGUUGGGGACCGGCAGCACACCGCCGGCCCUGAAAUGGAGUGGCGGCCCGUCCGCGGCGACCUCUGCGCAGUAAUACAGCUCGCACCGGGACCCCGACGCGGCCACGCCGUAAAACACCCAACUUCUGAACGUUGACCUCGAAUCAGGUAGGACUACCCGCUGAACUUAAGCAUAUCAAUAAGCGGAGGA
This 343-nucleotide unclassified non-coding RNA is filed under the name soil metagenome. RNAcentral describes it as "partial contains 5.8S ribosomal RNA, internal transcribed spacer 2, and large subunit ribosomal RNA". The stretch from base 1 to 120 matches the Rfam family "5.8S ribosomal RNA", at positions 35 to 154 of the family's 154-position model. The record is from RNAcentral.